This 760-nucleotide long non-coding RNA is filed under the name Rattus norvegicus (Norway rat). RNAcentral's name for it is "long non-coding RNA NONRATT023981". The record is from RNAcentral. Lineage: Eukaryota; Metazoa; Chordata; Mammalia; Rodentia; Muridae.
UGUUAUUGCCUAUCGUCACCAAAGAGGUAAGUCUAGGUAGUGAAGAGGUGUGUGACACUCACCGGUACUGAGGUUCAGUGAUGGACAACCAGUGUUCUUUAUCAAUUAAUACAUUUAUUUAUUUUAUUAUUUGUACUUUAUCAGAGUAUAUUUAACAAAUACAUACAUAUUUUUAAAGAUUUAUUAAUUAUUUAUGAGUAUACUGUUGCUGUCUUCAGACACACCAGAAGAGGGCAUCAGAUCUCAUUACAGAUGGUUGUGAGCCACCAUGUGGUUGCUGGGAAUUGAACUCAGGACCUCUGGAAGAGCAGUCCAUGCUCUUAACCUCUGAGCUAUCUCUCUUUGACUGCUCCUAGAUACACGUGCACUGUAAGACAAUUACUACAACCAAGCUAAUGAAUGGGUAUAUGCUCGCCACACACCACUGGUUUCAUUGUUGAAACAAUCAAACAGUGCUCUCUUUCCUAUUUUAUGUGUUUGAUGGAGAAUUGCUAACUAUAGUCAACAUUUCUAGAACUUACUCAUAAAUGAAGCUUUUACCCUUUAACCACUUUAAGGGAAUUGGAAAAUACUGAAAAUCAUGGCUAUUCUCUUACCCUGUGAUGAAAUGUUCUUUUAUAAUACAAUUUUAUCAAUCAGAUUUUGUGUGUCCACUAAAGUUUUAAAAGUUGCUAAAUCUCUGUAGAAUAACUUGUCACUAGGAAAUCACCCAAACCUUUAAGGCAGACACAAAUCAUGAACUACCACUUAAAACACCCUG